CCCGACUCCUACGGGAGGCAGCAGUGCGGAAUAUUGGUCACUGGACGCAAGUCUGCCCCAGCCAUGCCGCUUGCAGGAAUACGGCUCUAUGAGUUUUCCCCUGCUUUUGUCCUCGGGUAAACGCCGCUACGUGUAUCUUUCUGAAAGUAUCUUCCUAAUAAGGCUCUGCUAACUCCGUUCCCUCAGCCGCGUUCCUACGGAGGAUUCACUCUUUAUCCGGAUUUAUUGGGUUUAAAGGGUGCGUAGGCGGUCGGAUAAGUUAGAGUGGAAAUCCCGAGGAGCAACUUCGGAAUUGCCUCUGAUACUGUUCGGCUAGAGAGUAGUGGCGGUAGGCGGAAUGUAUGGUGUAGCGGUGAAAUGCUUAGAGAGCAGACAGAACACCGAUUGCGAAGGCAGCGUACCAAGCUACUUCUGACGUUGAGGCACGAAAGCGUGGGGAGCAAACAGGAUUAGAUACCCGUGUA
RNAcentral lists this ribosomal RNA (464 nucleotides) under uncultured bacterium. RNAcentral's name for it is "bacterial SSU rRNA". It matches the Rfam family "Bacterial small subunit ribosomal RNA", at positions 331 to 792 of the family's 1533-position model. The record is from RNAcentral.